This 237-nucleotide unclassified non-coding RNA is filed under the name Hevea brasiliensis (rubber tree). The record is from RNAcentral. Lineage: Eukaryota; Viridiplantae; Streptophyta; Magnoliopsida; Malpighiales; Euphorbiaceae.
GUGCAUCCGGUUACAGAGAGGAGAUAUGAGAGGAUGUCCAUUUGCAGGGAAGAUAAUCAGGCUGCUGAAGCAAGCACGAACUGUCGGUGGAGUACGAGGAUGGAGGUUUUCAAAGAUCCAGAAAGACAGCCUGGAAACAAUAUAGUCCUAAACAACCGAUCUCAAGCAGGUUAUGCAUCGUCCUCGGGCUCAGACCAUUCACCUUCUAGUUCGACUUCUGAUGCACAGGACCGGACU